UCCUGCUGCUCUGAGCGGUGCGGCUGUAGCGCUGCCAGCCACCGGUGCUCCAGGCAGCGCGGGGAAGUUUGAGUCAUAAGAUGAGAUCUCCAGUCCCAUCUGUAUCAUCCUGAAUAUGAACACUGGACUAUAAGCUAUGGACUAAUUCUGAAAGAACUCUUUGAAACUACAAAGCUCAUCAACUCGAAUAUAAAACUGAUCUCAGAAUGGUA
Mauremys reevesii (Reeves's turtle) is the source of this 212-nucleotide long non-coding RNA. RefSeq lists it as uncharacterized. The transcript has 2 exons. The record is from RefSeq and is a predicted model, not a curated record. Lineage: Eukaryota; Metazoa; Chordata; Testudines; Geoemydidae.